GAAGGAUCAUUACCGAGUGUAGGGUUCCUAGCGAGCCCAACCUCCCACCCGUGUUUACUGUACCUUAGUUGCUUCGGCGGGCCCGCCAUUCAUGGCCGCCGGGGGCUCUCAGCCCCGGGCCCGCGCCCGCCGGAGACACCACGAACUCUGUCUGAUCUAGUGAAGUCUGAGUUGAUUGUAUCGCAAUCAGUUAAAACUUUCAACAAUGGAUCUCUUGGUUCCGGCAUCGAUGAAGAACGCAGCGAAAUGCGAUAACUAGUGUGAAUUGCAGAAUUCCGUGAAUCAUCGAGUCUUUGAACGCACAUUGCGCCCCCUGGUAUUCCGGGGGGCAUGCCUGUCCGAGCGUCAUUGCUGCCCAUCAAGCACGGCUUGUGUGUUGGGUCGUCGUCCCCUCUCCGGGGGGGACGGGCCCCAAAGGCAGCGGCGGCACCGCGUCCGAUCCUCGAGCGUAUGGGGCUUUGUCACCCGCUCUGUAGGCCCGGCCGGCGCUUGCCGAACGCAAAUCAAUCUUUUCCAGGUUGACCUCGGAUCAGGUAGGGAUACCCGCUGAACUUAAGC
Molecule: ribosomal RNA, 558 nt
Filed under: Aspergillus flavus
Lineage: Eukaryota; Fungi; Ascomycota; Eurotiomycetes; Eurotiales; Aspergillaceae
Description: eukaryotic LSU rRNA
Rfam family: 5.8S ribosomal RNA (bases 195-348)
Source: RNAcentral